CUUUUAUCCCUGUGGUUUGGUUGCACAAUUCUCCCGAUUUUCCCCAUUCUUUCCAUGGCCUCCUUGGUGAAGUCUCCCAGUGAACCUGCUCUUUCCCCACACUGGGCAAGCAGAUGGGCAAAGCCAAAAGAGGAGCAGCAGUGGCAGUGCAGCUGCUGCUGAGGGUGACUGUCGUGCAGGCUAUGACGUUAAUCAUUUAUUCAGGAGGUCAAAUUUAGAAUGGGAAUAAGGGUUGACUCUCAUUGUCACAUCAUCUGUCAGCUGGAAAAUAUGUUUGGGUCUAAGUACUGGCCAC
Molecule: non-coding RNA, 295 nt
Organism: Chelonoidis abingdonii (Abingdon island giant tortoise)
Lineage: Eukaryota; Metazoa; Chordata; Testudines; Testudinidae
Source: RefSeq, a predicted model, not a curated record